RNAcentral lists this signal recognition particle RNA (97 nucleotides) under Planctomycetaceae bacterium. RNAcentral's name for it is "signal recognition particle sRNA small type". It matches the Rfam family "Bacterial small signal recognition particle RNA". Rfam says of the family: The signal recognition particle (SRP) is a universally conserved ribonucleoprotein involved in the co-translational targeting of proteins to membranes. Archaeal SRP consists of a 7S RNA and homologues of the eukaryotic SRP19 and SRP54 proteins. In most bacteria, the SRP consists of a 4.5S RNA and the Ffh protein (a homologue of the eukaryotic SRP54 protein). Lineage: Bacteria; Pseudomonadati; Planctomycetota; Planctomycetia; Planctomycetales; Planctomycetaceae. The record is from RNAcentral.
GGCUGCCUCCCGUGCGGUGGGUCCGUGUGAACCGGGUCAGGCGGGAGACCGAGCAGCCCUAAGCAUUAGUUCCCAGGUGCGCGUGGAGGUAGCCUUC